Molecule: ribosomal RNA, 863 nt
Filed under: Pelecitus copsychi
Lineage: Eukaryota; Metazoa; Nematoda; Chromadorea; Rhabditida; Onchocercidae
Description: partial large subunit ribosomal RNA
Source: RNAcentral
CUAACGAGGAUUUCCUUAGUAACGGCGAGUGAAAAGGAAAAAGCCCAGCGCUGAAUCCAAUAGACAUCUUGGCUAUAUGGAAAUGUAGCGUAUAGGUGUAACUAUCCGUAACAUAUUUUUGCACCCAAAGUCCCCUUGAGCGGGGCUACAGUCCAUAGAAGGUGCUAGACCUGUACGGGUGAAAAAAGUUACGGUAGGUUAUUCUUUGGAGUCGGGUUGUUUGAGAUUGCAGCCCAAAGAGGGUGGUAAACCUCAUCUAAGGCUAAAUACGACCACGAGACCGAUAGCAAACAAGUACCGUGAGGGAAAGUUGCAAAGAACUUUGAAGAGAGAGUUCAAGAGGGCGUGAAACCGCUGAGAUGGAAACGGAUAGAGUUAACGAAACUUAUCGGUAUUCAACCAAUCAAUUUAGCAAUCUUAAUUAUKAUUUAUCAUUUAUUAAUUGAUUUAUUAUUAUUUAAUGAAUAAAAUGAUGAUUAAGAAAUGAAUGCUAAAUUUGUAUSGAUAAUGAUUGGUGUAUUUACCGAUGGUAUGCAUCGAGAGCUUCAUUUUAGCAUAUUAAUAUAGUUUAUUUAGUGGACCAAUUAUUACAUUUGAUAAUUGGAAUCCUAAAUCUAUUGAAAUAUGUCUUAGAUGAAGUUUUAAUCCCAUAUGUGUAACUUUCACUUGAAAUAAUAGUGACAUGCAUCGAUUAUAAUUUKUUUUGCUAAUUACAUUUACAUGUAGUCGCAUGCGACUWUUAACGGUAAAUGGUUUAGAUUAAUUGGUAAAGUUAUAAUAUUGUAUGCAUAAUNUGAAAAGUUACAUCUCGAUGUGAACGUUAAUCACCUAUCUGACCCGUCUUGAAACACGGACCAAGGAGU